AUUGAACGCUGGCGGCAUGCCUUACACAUGCAAGUCGAACGGCAGCACGGGGGCAACCCUGGUGGCGAGUGGCGAACGGGUGAGUAAUACAUCGGAACGUGUCCUGUAGUGGGGGAUAGCCCGGCGAAAGCGAUUUAAUACCGCAUACGACCUAAGGGAGAAAGCGGGGGAUCUUCGGACCUCGCGCUAUAGGGGCGGCCGAUGGCAGAUUAGCUAGUUGGUGGGGUAAAGGCCUACCAAGGCGACGAUCUGUAGCUGGUCUGAGAGGACGACCAGCCACACUGGGACUGAGACACGGCCCAGACUCCUACGGGAGGCAGCAGUGGGGAAUUUUGGACAAUGGGGGCAACCCUGAUCCAGCAAUGCCGCGUGUGUGAAGAAGGCCUUCGGGUUGUAAAGCACUUUUGUCCGGAAAGAAAACUUCGGCGCUAAUAUNGNUGNAGGAUGACGGUACCGGAAGAAUAAGCACCGGCUAACUACGUGC
RNAcentral lists this ribosomal RNA (484 nucleotides) under uncultured beta proteobacterium. Its description in RNAcentral is "bacterial SSU rRNA". It matches the Rfam family "Bacterial small subunit ribosomal RNA", at positions 29 to 508 of the family's 1533-position model. Lineage: Bacteria; Pseudomonadati; Pseudomonadota; Betaproteobacteria. The record is from RNAcentral.